GUUUGGAUGAAUUAAAAAGUUCCUGGAAUAGUGGGUUCUCUGUUCACAUUGAUAAUAAAUGAAUUAAAAACAGUUUAAUUUAUACAUUUUGAAGAUUCCUAGCAACUUCUUAGAUCAUGUUUGGUGGAAGGCAAUAAAACAAAAUAUUAAUCGAAGUACUAUAAAUAUAUCACUGUUUACCGAACCAGCACUUAGUAAAUCUUUAAGCUCCCGUGUAGUUUCUUAUGUAGACUGCGUUGUGGUAGAUUGAUAAUUCUUUUCAGGCUGUCGAUAGUUCCCUUUUAUCAACGCUGGCAGAAAUGUUGUGUUUGCCUUUCAGUUGAAUGAGGGCUGCACUGCUUGUUGAGUGAGCCACAUAGUUGGGUCUUGCUUUCUAUAUUAAAAUUCUUUCGCUUACUAUGGAUGCCGACGGUGUGAUAUCUGUCCUGACUAAUUUUGUUGGUAUCCAAGUGGGGCUGUUGAACUGCUUCUAGUUUAUGGUUGUGAUCUUCAUGUGGGUGUUUAUGUUUCCAUGGUCACAUCUGUUUGGACACAACCAAUGAUUCAAUAGAGAGAAUAAUCACUGCUUAAAGUAUUCUGAUAGAGUAAAGAAUCUAGAGAGGCUGAUUUUAUGAGUUGAUUAUAGAAAUGGAAAAGAGCAAAUCUCAAUGCUAUUACUGCAGAAAAAUAAGGAAGUCACCAGUGUUAUAGCCGCUCAAAACACUAGUCAGUACUCAUAAACAGAAUAAUUCCAAUACAAGAUAAUUACUAGACAAAUACCCUUCCACAGCUAUGCUGCUGCUAACAAUUCUGAAUACAAACUGCCAUGCCUUCUUCAUUCCUUGCUCUCUGUUAUUAUAGGAUCUGCCUCCCUGUAUUUGAGAGAUUUCCCUGCCUAUGUGUUGCUGCUUGGUUCUUCCAGAAUAUUACGUUCCACUUGUUUUCCCUGGGCUUUUCUCCAGUACCCUGAUCCAUUUUCCCAUAUAUUCCACCUUAAUUGAUAGUUUUGCAUUCAACAAUAUAAGAUUCUUACUCUCUUUGUUGUUCCGGUCAUCUUAUCUAGUCAACUCAAGUGGUGGUCAAUUUUCCCGUUUUGAUUUCUAUCUAUUUGCAUCAAAUUAAUGUUGCCUUAUAUAAUUAGUUUGUUUUCCAUUUUCAUAUUUUCUGUUAUGCCCUCUUACAUAUUUUGGUUCUUGGUCAUUUUGGGUCGCCACAUUUAUAGUUCACUGGGGCUUGCCUUAAAGGUAUUUUUGUAGCUUCAUCGUUUGCUAUCAUGCUGUUGGAAUUGAUUUCACAUAUUGCAUAUUAGGACUUUUCCAAAGCAAGACAGAUUGUGAUAUGCCUAGAAACUAUUAUGAAGUCCUAAUAAAUGACGGAUGCGGGGGUGCUUUUUGAUGAAUUGUCUGUUGAUCCAUGCAUUCUAAAAUCAGCAUCAACUCUAAAUCCAUUUUUUCAUGUGUCUGCUGCAAUGGAGGAAAUAUGUUUAGGCCAGAAUUUCUCAAUUUCAUUUGAAGAGCCUCAAAACACCUGCAAGUUGCAAAUGGCUCAUCUCUCUUUUCUUAAUAGCUAUGCUAUGCACCCUCCUAUUCCUAGAGCCUGUGCUUCAUAUUGCCUUUCCUUCGGUUUGAGUUUUGCCUAGCAUUAGUCUCUUAGUUUUAUGUUGUUUUUUCUCCAUGUCUUAAUAACAAUAACAACCCUUAAUUCUCAUAUCCUUCAGUUUAUCUGAUUGAGAAAUGGCAAUGCGGAUUUAUAUACUGCAGCUACGCAGCAACAUGGAGUGG
RNAcentral lists this unclassified non-coding RNA (1760 nucleotides) under Hevea brasiliensis (rubber tree). The record is from RNAcentral. Lineage: Eukaryota; Viridiplantae; Streptophyta; Magnoliopsida; Malpighiales; Euphorbiaceae.